GACGAACGCUGGCGGCGUGCUUAACACAUGCAAGUCGAACGGAAAGGCCCUGCUUUUGUGGGGUGCUCGAGUGGCGAACGGGUGAGUAACACGUGAGUAACCUGCCCUUGACGUUGGGAUAACUUCAGGAAACUGGGGCUAAUACCGGAUAGGAGAUCCUGCUGCAUGGGGGGGGUUGGAAAGUUUCGGCGGUUGUGGAUGGACUCGCGGCUUAUCAGCUGGUUGGUGGGGUAGUGGCUUACCAAGGCUUUGACGGGUAGCCGGCCUGAGAGGGUGACCGGCCACAUUGGGACUGAGAGACGGCCCAGACUCCUACGGGAGGCAGCAGUGGGGAAUAUUGCACAAUGGGCGGAAGCCUGAUGCAGCAACGCCGCGUGCGGGAUGACGGCCUUCGGGUUGUAAACCGCUUUCACCUGUGACGAAGCGUGAGUGACGGUAAUGGGUAAAGAAGCACCGGCUAACUACGUG
RNAcentral lists this ribosomal RNA (468 nucleotides) under uncultured bacterium. Its description in RNAcentral is "partial 16S ribosomal RNA". It matches the Rfam family "Bacterial small subunit ribosomal RNA", at positions 28 to 507 of the family's 1533-position model. The record is from RNAcentral.